This is a long non-coding RNA of Oncorhynchus tshawytscha (Chinook salmon), 1178 nucleotides long. NCBI's taxonomy places the organism in Eukaryota, Metazoa, Chordata, Actinopteri, Salmoniformes, Salmonidae. The record is from Ensembl.
CUAGCGAGGUGUUGCUGAGGAACACACUGUUACUAAAGGACCUAGCGAGGUGUUGCUGAGGAACACACUGUUACUAAAUCCUUUGAGAACUGUGCCUUAUGAAGGACAUGCUUGGUUUUAAAGGUUUUUAUUUAGAAUUAAGAAUGAAUUAUGUUUUGUAUUGUUUACAGAGGAGAAUGUUUUUGCAGUAGAGUUGAACAUCAGAACACUGAGCUGUUGCAAAAGCAGGAUCAGUAAGUUAAGCCAGAUAACUCUUAUUAGGGGUAAAAUAUAGUUCUUGAUUUACUGAUAUAUUUAUAAAGCUGAACUUGAAUAUGGUUGUCAAGUCAGUUACAAUACAAUGAUGCCAGGUAUACCUUGACGUUAUUGCCAUGAUGCCAGUUAUACCUUGACGUUAUUGCCAUGAUGCUAGGUUAUCCUUGACGUUAUUGCCAUGAUGCUAGGUUAUCCUUGACGUUAUUGCCAUGAUGCUAGGUUAUUCUUGACGUUAUUGCCAUGAUGCCAGGUGUACCUUGACGUUAUUGCCAUGAUGCCAGUUAUACUUUGAUGUUAUUGCCAUGAUGCCAGUUAUACCUUGACGUUAUUGCCAUGAUGCUAGGUUAUCCUUGACGUUAUUGCCAUGGUGCUAGGUUAUCCUUGGCGUUAUUGCCAUGAUGCCAGUUAUACCUUGACGUUAUUGCCAUGAUGCUAGGUUAUCCUUGACGUUAUUGCCAUGAUGCUAGGUUAUCCUUGGCGUUAUUGCCAUGAUGCUAGGUUAUCCUUGACGUUAUUGCCCCAAUGCCAGGUAUACCUUAACGUUAUUGCCAUGAUGCCAGUUAUACCUUGACAUUUUUGCCAUGAUUCCAGUUAUACCUUGACGUUAUUGCCAUGAUGCCAGGUAUACCUUGACGUUAUUGCCAUGAUGCCAGUGUCAAGUCUCUGACAUUAUUUAGAGCGUUUGUUAGUCGGCUAACUGGUUGAUCCUGCGGUCUGGAACAGCCCCACGUCUCUGUUCAACCACCAGACCUCCAUGUUUUAAUAAACACUCUGAACCACCAGACAGACAUGUUUUAAUAAACACUCCGAACCACCAGACCUCCAUGUUUUAAAUCAAAUCAAAUCAAAUUGUAUUUGUCACAUACACAUGGUUAGCAGAUGUUAAUGCGAGUGUAGCGAAAUGCUUGUGCUUCUAGUUCCGA